GACGAACGCUGGCGGCGUGCUUAACACAUGCAAGUCGAACGGAAAGGCCCUGCUUUUGCGGGGUGCUCGAGUGGCGAACGGGUGAGUAACACGUGAGUAACCUGCCCUUGACUUUGGGAUAACUUCAGGAAACUGGGGCUAAUACCGGAUAGGAGCUCCUGCUGCAUGGUGGGGGUUGGAAAGUUUCGGCGGUUGGGGAUGGACUCGCGGCUUACCAGCUUGUUGGUGGGGUAGUGGCUUACCAAGGGUUUGACGGGUAGCCGGCCUGAGAGGGUGACCGGCGACAAUGGGACUGAGAUACGGCCCAGACUCCUACGGGAGGCAGCAGUGGGAAAUAUUGCACAAUGGGCGGAAGCCUGAUGCGGCAACGCCGCGUGCGGGAUGACGGCCUUCGGGUUGUAAACCGCUUUCGCCUGUAACGAAGCGUGAGUGACGGUAAUGAGUAAAGAAGCACCGGCUAACUACGUG
RNAcentral lists this ribosomal RNA (468 nucleotides) under uncultured bacterium. RNAcentral's name for it is "partial 16S ribosomal RNA". It matches the Rfam family "Bacterial small subunit ribosomal RNA", at positions 28 to 507 of the family's 1533-position model. The record is from RNAcentral.